This 406-nucleotide ribosomal RNA is filed under the name uncultured bacterium. RNAcentral's name for it is "bacterial SSU rRNA". It matches the Rfam family "Bacterial small subunit ribosomal RNA", at positions 355 to 776 of the family's 1533-position model. The record is from RNAcentral.
UGGGGGAUAUUGCGCAAUGGAGGAAACUCUGACGCAGCAACGCCGCGUGAAGGAAGAAGGCCUUCGGGUUGUAAACUUUUUUCUUCAGGGAAGAAUAAAUGACGGUACCUGAGGGGGAAGCCACGGCUAACUACGUGCCAGCAGCCGCGGUAAUACGUAGGUGGCGAGCGUUGUCCGAAAUUACUGGGUGUAAAGGGUGCGUAGGCGGGUUAUAAAGUCAGAUGUGAAAUACCGAGGCUUAACUUCGGGGCUGCAUUUGAAACUUAUGAUCUUGAGUGAGGUAGAGGCAAGCGGAAUUCCCAGUGUAGCGGUGAAAUGCGUAGAUAUUGGGAGGAACACCAGUGGCGAGGGCGGCUUGCUGGGCCUUAACUGACGCUGAGGCACGAAAGCAUGGGGAGCAAACAGG